AGUGCCUUCGGGAGCCAAGACACAGGUGCUGCAUGGCUGUCGUCAGCUCGUGUCGUGAGAUGUUGGGUUAAGUCCCGUAACGAGCGCAACCCUUGUCCCUAGUUGCCAGCGAUUCAGUCGGGAACCUCAAGGAAACCCCCGGGGAUAAACCGGAGGAAGGGGGGGAAGAA
This 170-nucleotide ribosomal RNA is filed under the name uncultured bacterium. Its description in RNAcentral is "partial 16S ribosomal RNA". It matches the Rfam family "Bacterial small subunit ribosomal RNA", at positions 1013 to 1183 of the family's 1533-position model. The record is from RNAcentral.